RNAcentral lists this long non-coding RNA (1086 nucleotides) under Nicotiana benthamiana. RNAcentral describes it as "long non-coding RNA (NBEN_LNC038673)". Lineage: Eukaryota; Viridiplantae; Streptophyta; Magnoliopsida; Solanales; Solanaceae. The record is from RNAcentral.
GCCAACUCGGGCCAAAUACAAAACAAAAGGAAAAUGGGCCCAGAUUAGUUUCUGGCUCAACGUACACGAUAUACAAACAGUAUACAAUAAAUAUACACUAUAAAAUCAAUGUAUGUGUCUAGGUUUGAGCCCAGAUUAAUUUCUGGCCCAACAUACAUGAUAUACAAAUAGUAUAGAGUAAAGAUACACUACAAAAUCAAUGUAUGGGUCUAGGUUUGGAAGCUAGAUAAUCUUGUAGCUCAACACCCCCUUUCAAGUUGGAGGAGGAGACCACCUUCAACUUGACCAGCAGAGGAUGUAGGAUAGUGCCAGGCAAAGGCUUGGUGAGAAGGUCAGCCAGCUGACGAGAAGUAGAGACAUGUGAGAGAGUAAUGAGCCCACCAGUCAACAGGUCUCUAACAACGUGACAAUCUACCUCAAUAUGCUUGGUCCGCUCAUGAAAAUAGGAUUCUUGGCAAUAUGUAUAGCAGCCUGGUUAUCACAAAAAACAGAAAAGGGAAGAGAAACAGAAACACCAAUGUAAGUGAGCAAACGGGAAAGCCAAGACAAUUCAGCUACCACCUUACUGAGAGCCCUAUAUUCUGCUUCAGCAGAGGAUAAAGAAACUACAGGCUGUUUUUUGGACUUCCAACUAAUCAAGCUGCCUCCCAAAAUAACACAAAAACCAGUAACAGACCUGCGAGUGUCAGAACAGGCAGCCCAAUCACUAUCAGAAUAAGCCAACAUUCAUACAGUCAAAUUGGUGCAGCGGGUCAGAAACAUACAUAUGCUAAUUAAGGAGCAUCCCACUAAGAACAACAGACAUCUCUAUGCCCAAAAAAUAAUGCAAAGACCCCAGGUCUUUAAUCCUGAACUUAUCAUCCAGAAACAUUUUCAGGGCAGAAAGCUCAUCAUUGUCAUCCCGAGUAAUAAUAAUGUCAUCCACAUAGACUGCUACAACAACAAGACAACCAUGUCGCCUUUGAUAAAUAGAGAAUAAUCAUUCAAAGAAUAUGUAUAUCCUCUGGAGUAGAGAGCAGAAGACAGUUUAGCAUACCAUUGUCUGGAUGCCUGUCUCAACCCAUAAAGAGACUUUUUCAACUUACA